Molecule: ribosomal RNA, 500 nt
Filed under: uncultured archaeon
Lineage: Archaea
Description: bacterial SSU rRNA
Rfam family: Archaeal small subunit ribosomal RNA
Source: RNAcentral
UCUCGGUUGAUCCUGCCGGACCCCACUGGCUAUCGCGGAUGGGACUAAGACAUGCUAGUCGAGCGUCUCCAAGCUAUGGAAGAGACGCGGCACACAGCUCAGUAACACGUGGCUAACCUGCCCUGUGGGACAAGGACAACUCCGGGAAACUGGGGCUAAUCCCUGAUAGGUGAAAACUCCUGGAAUGGAUUCUCGCUCACAGGACGUUUAGACCAUGCUUCUAAGCGUCGCCCAAGGAGGGGGCCGCGACCGAUCAGGUUGUUGGUGAGGUAACGGCUCACCAAGCCUUUAACCGGUACGGGCCGUGAGAGCGGAAGCCCGGAGAUGGGCACUGAGACAAGGGCCCAGGCCCUACGGGGCGCAGCAGUCGCGAAAACUCCGCAAUACACGAAAGUGUGACGGGGCCAUCCCUAGUGCCAUCCGCUGAGGAUGGCUUCUCCCCAGUGUAUAAAGCUGGGGGAAUAAGGAGAGGGCAAGCCUGCUGUCAGCCGCCGCGGUAA